Long non-coding RNA from Xiphias gladius (swordfish), 1031 nucleotides. RefSeq lists it as uncharacterized. The record is from RefSeq and is a predicted model, not a curated record. NCBI's taxonomy places the organism in Eukaryota, Metazoa, Chordata, Actinopteri, Istiophoriformes, Xiphiidae. The transcript is spliced from 3 exons.
AUCACAUCACUAUACUAUACGAAGCAAGGUCAACACACACAAGAUAUCUUUUCGUUAUCUGCCUUCACUGAGCAUAACAGUUUCCUAGAAAACCUGUAUCACUAGGCUGCUUAGCUGGCUCUGGAUCAGUUACUCGGGGGUUUCCGGUCAGGCUGUGACCGGAAACCCCCUGCGACGGGGUCGUUCAUUAAAAUACAGAUUAGAAAAAUAUCUACUGACCUUUAAUGUCAAUUUAUUGUCAAUUUAUUCUAAACUGUUCUGUCAAUAUGUCAGGAUCCUGUAGUAAAGAUGACUCUGGUUUUCCAGUGAUGUGACUGGACUGCGGCUGCUGUUAAAAUGCUGUUUCCGUUGCAGUAUUUAGAAAUUAAAUCCCACUGGACACUAAAUGCGAUACAAUACCAGGGUCUCUGGGGAAAAUCAACUUGGUCCUACCGUUGGAAAAGGUGCUCAGGAGGAACGCUGGCAUAAGCACUACCCUGGCGAAGCCCACGGAGAAACGGGACGGUGAUGGCUGGCCGUAAAGGUUUCCGCCAGGGGACACGAAAACAGGGUGCGUCUCCAUUCAUCCCUCGUUUCCUCUCCUCGAGAAGAGAUCAACGGAGUGCAGCAGUUCACAUCUGCAGAAACAACUCGCUUCUUCGACUGUGCGCCUGCAGCCCAGCAUGCCAGGAAUUACGUAAGAGGACUGAUGGAGCAGAAUUUGAUUAUAGGCUGAAGAUCUAUUUAAGGGGUAGAGGAUGACAAAAGGUCUGCAGAUGGCUGGAGCUGCCAGAAGAAAAAAAAAAAGGCAAGCUUCUUCAAUUUAUUUGAAUGAUGGGAGAGACACGUUUUAAAUGUGUGUCUCAUAUAUUUGUGUGUGUGUGUAUUUGUGUGUUAAGGGGUAUCAGUGCUUUGUAGAUUUUAUAUGUCUGAUGUGAUACACUUUCUUGUUUGGAUGCUAGCCCCCUCCCACUCUGUAUGACUUGUUGAGUGUAUUUCCUUGUUGUUACUGUAUGUUUUUGUAUAUGCAAAUGUGUCUGUGUGUGUGUGUC